Molecule: ribosomal RNA, 393 nt
Filed under: uncultured bacterium
Lineage: Bacteria
Description: partial 16S ribosomal RNA
Rfam family: Bacterial small subunit ribosomal RNA
Source: RNAcentral
AUACGGAGGAUGCGAGCGUUAUCCGGAUUUAUUGGGUUUAAAGGGAGCGUAGGUGGGAUAUUAAGUCAGCUGUGAAAGUUUGGGGCUCAACCUUAAAAUUGCAGUUGAUACUGGUUUCCUUGAGUACGGUAUAGGUGGGCGGAAUUCGUGGUGUAGCGGUGAAAUGCUUAGAUAUCACGAAGAACUCCGAUCGCGAAGGCAGCUCACCGGGCCGGAACUGACGCUGAUGCUCGAAAGUGCGGGUAUCAAACAGGAUUAGAUACCCUGGUAGGCCGCACAGUAAACGAUGAAUACUCGCUGUUUGCGAUACACUGUAAGCGGCCAAGCGAAAGCGUUAAGUAUUCCACCUGGGGAGUACGCCGGCAACGGUGAAACUCAAAGGAAUUGACGGGG